This 499-nucleotide ribosomal RNA is filed under the name uncultured bacterium. Its description in RNAcentral is "partial 16S ribosomal RNA". It matches the Rfam family "Bacterial small subunit ribosomal RNA", at positions 28 to 507 of the family's 1533-position model. The record is from RNAcentral.
GACGAACGCUGGCGGCGUGCCUAAUACAUGCAAGUCGAGCGAAGUUUUUCUGGUGCUUGCACUAGAAAAACUUAGCGGCGAACGGGUGAGUAACACGUAAAGAACCUGCCUCAUAGACUGGGACAACUAUUGGAAACGAUAGCUAAUACCGGAUAACAGUAUUUCUCGCAUGAGAGAUAUUUAAAAGUUGGUUAUGCUAACACUAUGAGAUGGCUUUGCGGUGCAUUAGCUAGUUGGUGGGGUAAAGGCCCACCAAGGCGACGAUGCAUAGCCGACCUGAGAGGGUGAUCGGCCACACUGGGACUGAGACACGGCCCAGACUCCUACGGGAGGCAGCAGUAGGGAAUCUUCCGCAAUGGGCGAAAGCCUGACGGAGCAACGCCGCGUGAGUGAAGAAGGAUUUCGGUUCGUAGAGCUCUGUUGUUAGGGAAGAAUGGAUAUGUAGUAACUAUACAUGUAAGAGACGGUACCUAACCAGAAAGCCACGGCUAACUACGUG